Long non-coding RNA from Rhineura floridana, 1100 nucleotides. RefSeq lists it as uncharacterized. Lineage: Eukaryota; Metazoa; Chordata; Lepidosauria; Squamata; Rhineuridae. The record is from RefSeq and is a predicted model, not a curated record. The transcript is spliced from 2 exons.
AAUGGCGACUUUGAUUGAUGUUUAAGGGCAGGUCAGACGGAUUGCUGCUCUAUCAUUAUUCUUCUUCGUGGCUUCUCUCUGCACCAAUUAAGAAGGGGUGUCGCUCUAUCAGUAGAAACCCUAUGGUGGAAGCUCUUUAAACUUUGCAUUGGAGAAAGGAUCAAAAUUCAGAUAGAACUUUUAAAAUUGGGGAUGCUGCUAAGAAUUGGAUUCUCCUCUUUGCUAUAAAACUGAGUUUUUGAAUCGAAUUGCCUUUGGGAGAAGAUGAAGACUGUUUCCUGGUGCUGUUGAGUUAAAAUUCGACAAGGUGGGAGGAGAAGGAACAGAAGAAAGAUAACACACAUUUAGGACUGGAACCCUUGAUCAGGAUCCAAAGAACUGCAAAACUGGUUUGAUGCCCCAAGAGACUGGAUGUCCAUUUUUCAAGCAGAAUCUCUCCAUACCAAAUGGGAAGUCAUUUUCUGAGGCUGGGGCAGGAUGUUUCAAAAGCAUUUUGUGAUAUGAUAUGGGACCCUCCAUUCAAAGAGGGGGGGAAGUCAGAAAUCCCAUUGGGCAUAUCCAAGCCUUUGAACAUGCUUAAGGUCAUUCUUUACUUCUAGGUUUACAUCUGUAGGUGUGCACAGACAUGCCUUUAAACAGGAGUUUGUGUCACCCCUUCCCCUCUCUCCUCAUACAGUAGCUGAUUGGUGUGCUGGCUCCCUGACUGUUGCAAGGCUGGGCCAAUCAGCAGUAUGUGCAGUCCCUUCAGCUACCAACACUAAGAACAUAUUUCCCCAGAGCUUGGUUUGGGGGAGGUUGUAUAUGUGCUCAAACAGCAAGUGCCCUUCCACAGUGAAACUUGCCUCUUGUAAUUUUUGUUCACAGCCUUUGCUCCUUAUGACCACUAGAUGGCAUCUCUUCCAGGUUUGAUUAAAGGUUCAUCUUUCUUUGUAUGAAAUUAUACAGCACAUGAACACUAACUUCAGGAUUUACUUUUCCCUACCUGUAUCUUUAAAAUAUGAUAUUUGUAAUGUCUACACUGUUAGGCACAUAAAAUUUUGGGGCCUGGUUAGUGUUUCAUAAACGUCAGUUAUUCAAAAUUAAAUCUGUUAGUCUUUUAA